Molecule: long non-coding RNA, 3051 nt
Organism: Vitis vinifera (wine grape)
Lineage: Eukaryota; Viridiplantae; Streptophyta; Magnoliopsida; Vitales; Vitaceae
Exons: 2
Source: RefSeq, a predicted model, not a curated record
UUAGACUCACCUUAAUUAGUGUUAAAAACAUUUUCUUUAAGCCUAGGUUUCAUUUUAAUAAUGUAAGUUUAUUUCGAAAUCAUAUUCCUUGAAUUCAUAUUUUGUUUUAGUUUCCUUUCAUUUAAAUUGAUUCAUUUUAAUUAUUUUAGGUGUUCUUAUAAUUCUUAAUAAAAAUAAAUUUUAUAUUUAAAGGUGAUUGUCCUAGGUUUAUUCUGAUUUAGCUUCCCUCAUCGAUUCAAUUUAGGUAUUUUCCAUAAUAUUAGUUCGUUAAUAAAAUUAAUUUUUUGAUUGAAAAUUAUUGUUUUCCUUGAUUUGAUUAGGUUCAAUUUAAUUAGUCAGGAUGUGUUUGGGGGUUUAAUUGAUCACAUGGUAAUUCUUGAUUAUUACUCUCGAUUGAUAUGUUUCUUAAACAUUAGUCAUUAAUUCAUUUGACUUGAGAUUGAAUAGUUUAUCGCUUUAGUAGACUCUGGUGAUUGUUAUUCUAAAUUGACAUGUUUCUUGGAUAUUGGUUCUUAAUUCUUAGUGGGUAUCUCGUUAGCUUAUUUGAUCUAAGUUUGAAUAGUUUAUUGCUUUGAUAGUCUCUUAUAAAAUUUACUUUUUAGAGGUCAUUGGAAAAUCACGAAGAUUGACCUCUACCCUCACCUUUAUCAUUUUUGUUGAUUACUAAAAAAUUUUACUUCAUGAUUUUAUUUUAUUUUCUUUUGUUUUGUAUUUUGUUUCUUAUGUUUUGUUGUUUUCAAAUUAAUUUCAUUUAUUUUUAAAACAAAACACUUUUCUCAAAAGAUCCAUUUGAAAAUCUAUUUAAAAAAAAAAUCAUUUAGAGUCCUUAGAAUCAAAAUCCCAUUUUCUUUAAAAAUAUGAGACCAUGUUUUGAUCGGUUUGCAUCUUUCUCAGUUUUCAAUAAAAAUUCUGGUUUCGAAUGAAAUAUGAAUCAAAGCUUGUGGUCCCAAAUAAAUGGGAUGAUUCUUAGCUAGAUUUAUGUAUACCAAUUGGGGAAUUGGUGAAACCCCUACAUAAGAAAAUUUUUCAAAACUCUUCCUUGCUACCAGUUUUUACUUAGCCACUGACCCUUUAGAUUCAAAAUUCGUUUCAGCAACUUUGGAAUGUUUUUAAAAAUUUUCCAAAACUUUUAUGACUUUCCUCACUUCUUAAACUUGAAUUUAAAGUUUUGUUUGAGUUAGAAAGUCAUUCUGGAAUGGAAGAUAUAAAUGAGUUUUUAGGGCGGGCUCCGUCUUCACCCAGUUCUAGACACCUGAGAUCUUUUUGAAAAAAUAAAAUAUCAAACGAGUUUUUAAAUUUAAUUAAAUAUUUUUCCUCAAUUCUAGGCUUCUUAAAAUUGAUAUUAGACACAUAAAAUAUUAAAAAAUAUACCUUUUUGAGGGAGAUAUGAUUUUUCAAAGUAUUACCUGCUGCACAUGUUGAAUUCUAGACAUCUGAUUAGCUUGAGUAUUUUAGAAAUAUUUUUGAGUACUAUUCGACCCUGGAUUCAUUUUUUAUGUGAUAUAGACACUUUGAAAUAUGUGUGUGAUCAUUUAUGUGAUCAUUUAUUUUAUUUUUUUAUAAUUCGUUUAUGCAUGUCAGUUUUUCUUAUCUAAUCUGGACUUUGUAAAGCCUUUAGGUAUCUUUGCUACAACCUGUCCCUUGAAUGAGAGUUUGGCCUUCGGUAUGUUGAUCUAGAUGUGUAGGAGUAGUUUUCUGAAUUUUUUUCAUAAUUAAAUUCCACUCUAAGCCAUUUUUUAGAAAUUGUUUUUUUGAUGCUCUAUUUUCUAAUUGCAUGUUGAUGGUUUUAUACUUUACUUGAAAUUGUUAUUAUUUUUGGAGUCAUUUGAUUUAUCUUAGACAUAAUAAAGGUGUUAUAUAAUAUAUACUUGUCCUAACCACUCUAGCCUUUUUUUGAGGAAUCUUAGAAAUUAUGCAUGCUAUCCAAGUACACUCUCAAUCACUACUUUUUGGAAUUUUAUGAACAUGCAUGUUAUUGUGAGCCUUAUUUAUGUUUGAUGUGAUCCUUAGGUGCUUAGAUGUAUGCUUGAUUGCCUUAAUAUAUGUUUGAUCGUUUGAUUUGCCCUUGUUAAAACAAAUGUUGUGUGCUAUAUUUCUAUAUUAACUUUGAUGUUUUAUGAUAGCGUUUGAGAAGCAGUCCAAGUACGCACCCUAAAUUUCUUUUAUGAUCAGGAUUUGACUUUUCUUGUUUAGCAUGCUAUCUUUUGAAAUCACCUCAGUCUACCUAGGUACCCUCAAUCAAUCAAUUAAUUACCACAUUUCCCUCAACUUAGUCAGUAGAGACCUUUAUAGGGCUUAGAGGGUGCUAACUUUUAGAAGUAUCUUCCCAAUAGGUAAUCUGAUCCCCGAACCUAGACUAGGGUUUUUAAAAGACAAGUUUUUCCAAAAACUAUGGAGUCACUUUUUUUAGGUUUUCUUUCUUGUUUUAUUUAUCCUCUUAAAUAAAAUAAAAUAAGUGACGACUCCGACUUUUCCAAAAACAAAAUUUUCACCAAAUAAAAGCGAGUCUGGCCAAUCGAGUGGGGGCGCACGUGAAAAAUGCAGGUCCACACACUACUAGCCAGUAGUCUUCUCCAACAUCGACGGUUACCCUAAUCUCCGGCCACAUCUUCCCCCUCUCCCUCUUUUUAUCUCUUUUUUCUUUCUACCCCAAAAUUCAUUCCUUCCACUUUCAUUUUGGAGGCUUCAAAAAUGACUUUUCUUGGUGUUUGGACGAGUGUUUUGGCACUGUGCUGAAAAUGGGAAAAACAAAAAAGUGGUUGGAGCAGUUGAAGGUUGAAGACAGGGCAUGGGUUGGCCAGACGGAGGAUGAGAAUUUUUGGAUUAAAAAAGAAAAUGGGUGGACGUGCUUGAGAAUGGGGGGCAUAGGAAAUCCAAGAGGUGGAUUCUCUCUUCUUUUUCUUUGUUAUAUAUAUUUACUAUGAGGAGAGACAUUUUUUGGAUUUUUUGGAGCUGCCAAGAUAUUGUAAUUUUUGUUGGAGCAACAUUAUUGUACAAGGUGUACUCGGAUCCUUCCCCUCAUUUUGUUAUUUAUUUUUUAUUUUUUGGUUA